AGAGGUCAGAGGCCGCGGGGAGGAACCCCCCUGUUGCUUCCGCCUCCCGGGGCGCAGGCGCUGGGCGCGGCGGGGAAGGGACUCGGCACUGGGGAAACCCGGAGUUUCAGCCAGGGUCCCAGGGCUUCCUUCCCGGGUUCCUGCCGGAAAACUUUUCUCCUCCGCCCGGAAGCCUCGAUGGGGCACCUGUCCUGCUCUGGCCUGCCCUGUGCUCAGGAAGCUGGCGGUCCCCCUCAGUGGAUCUUCACCCACAGGGACAACCUGCUGCAGACCGGGUAGGAGGGAGGCAGGGGCCUCUUCCCCUCUCCUUCCUGGCCUGGCCCCACACCCACCAGUGUUGGUUUCACUCUGUGGCUACGAUUCUUCCUGGGUGCCCUUUCCAUUGCACAACUCCUCUAGGCUCUACGAACAGAACUUCUCCCCGCCCCCAAGCCUCUUAGGGUGAGACAUGUUGUCGGUCUGCCAUUGUUGCUGGUCCCUAAAUAGCAGCACCCUUUGAAGGAUCCUUGAACCAUGACCACACCGCAACAAAGAGUCCUUCAUCAAACUCGCUUCCAAAUCCCCUCCCAAGAACACCUUCAGUUUCCUGCAAGAACCCUGACUGCUGAAGCCGGAUUUUGACUAAGCUUCUACCUUGUAAACCGUGACUGUGGGAUUGGGGUCGAGGCGCAAUCAGAGGUUGUAUAAGGCACUAGAUCAAGGCUGCCUGUCUGUCAGGAGUGUCUGCUUUAUUCAGUAGUAAAUGUGAAUUGUUUUUCAU
Long non-coding RNA from Homo sapiens (human), 760 nucleotides. The record is from Ensembl. Lineage: Eukaryota; Metazoa; Chordata; Mammalia; Primates; Hominidae.